Molecule: ribosomal RNA, 254 nt
Filed under: uncultured bacterium
Lineage: Bacteria
Description: partial 16S ribosomal RNA
Rfam family: Bacterial small subunit ribosomal RNA
Source: RNAcentral
AGCGAGCGCGUGAGCGUAAGCAAAACACAGAAAACGCGUCCCAGUUCGGAUUGUAGUCUGNAACCCGACUACAUGAAGCCGGAAUCGCUAGUAAUCGCGGAUCAGAAUGCCGCCGGUGAAUACGUUCCCGGGUCUUGUACACACCGCCCGUCACACCAUGGGAGUCGGAAAUGCCCGAAGCCGGUGACCCAACCGAAAGGAGGGAGCCGUCGAAGGCAGGGCCGGUAACUGGGGUGAAGUCGUAACAAGGUAGC